GAUGAACGCUGGCGGCGUGCCUAAUACAUGCAAGUCGAGCGAACGGACGAGAAGCUUGCGUCUCUGAUGUUAGCGGCGGACGGGUGAGUAACACGUGGAUAACCUACCUAUAAGUCGGGGAGAACUUCGGGAAACCGGAUCUAAUACCGGAUAAUAUUUUGAACCGGAGUGUUCAAAAGUGAAAUACGGCUUUGGUGUUUGUUAUAGAUGGUUCCGCGCUGCAUUAGUUAGUUGGUAAGGUAACGGCUUACCAAGGCAACGAUGCAUAGCUGACCUGAGAGGGUGAUCGGCCACACUGGAACUGAGACACGGUCCAGACUCCUACGGGAGGCAGCAGUAGGGAAUAUUCGGCAAUGGGCGAAAGCCUGACGCAGCAACGCCGCGUGGGUGAUGAAGGUCUUCGGGUCGUAAAACUCUGUUAUUGGGAAAGAACAUCUGUGGAAUUAACUGUGCAUAUCCUGACGGUACCUAAUCAGAAAGCCACGGCUAACUACGUG
This 497-nucleotide ribosomal RNA is filed under the name uncultured bacterium. Its description in RNAcentral is "partial 16S ribosomal RNA". It matches the Rfam family "Bacterial small subunit ribosomal RNA", at positions 28 to 507 of the family's 1533-position model. The record is from RNAcentral.